RNAcentral lists this ribosomal RNA (253 nucleotides) under uncultured bacterium. RNAcentral's name for it is "partial 16S ribosomal RNA". It matches the Rfam family "Bacterial small subunit ribosomal RNA", at positions 524 to 776 of the family's 1533-position model. The record is from RNAcentral.
GACGGAGGGUGCAAGCGUUAUUCGGAAUCAUUGGGCGUAAAGAGUGUGUAGGCGGCCGGUUAAGUCAGGUGUGAAAGCCCAGGGCUCAACCCUGGAAGUGCACUUGAAACUGGUCGGCUUGAGUUCGGGAGAGGGUAGCGGAAUUCCUGGUGUAGAGGUGAAAUUCGUAGAUAUCAGGAGGAACACCGGUGGCGAAGGCGGCUACCUGGACCGAAACUGACGCUGAGAAACGAAAGCGUGGGGAGCAAACAGG